AGCAGUAUGGUGUAAUGCUGCAUGCGGGGUUCGGCUACGUCUUUUACUUGUACAAGUUAUCUCCGAGGUCCUUGUUCGAAUCAAGGUACUGCUC
Molecule: non-coding RNA, 94 nt
Organism: Mycena leptocephala
Lineage: Eukaryota; Fungi; Basidiomycota; Agaricomycetes; Agaricales; Mycenaceae
Source: the annotation of a GenBank genome assembly